AAGUAAGUAGGCUUUUCUAUUUAUCUUAAUUUGCCAUCAAAAUCUUAGUUAUUCGAAUGAGAGAACAUGCUAAGAGUACUUCAGUGGUUUUGACCUAACACAUAUUAUUCCAUACACACAAUUCUUUGUGAGUGUAUAUUUAUCACAAUUCAUUAAUAAGUUUGAGCCUGCUCCCCUUCAAGUUCUCCUAAUCGACGAAAUAAAUAGAUCCAUCCAGAAGCUUAAGGUAAGCUUGUAAAAAUUCUCUUGCUUACUUUUUGUUAUCUGUUUUCUGAGUUUUUAAAACAUCCAAAUAACUUUUCAAUUUCCAUGACAUAUAUGUAGGGUUGUUGUACCCUUAUAAAGGAUCGAUAUAAAAGUUUAGAGAAGAGAGGAUUAAUUGUUCCAACAUCCAAAACAUCCAAGAGGAAGUAGUUUAUUGCUCUAACAUUAUAUGAAACAUGUCAUCAUCAAAUCAUUUUUGCAUAUAGUUCAUACAUCUAUAUUUUAACCGUUUGAUAUGACACAUUUAAAAUUUGUAU
Molecule: non-coding RNA, 521 nt
Organism: Arachis ipaensis
Lineage: Eukaryota; Viridiplantae; Streptophyta; Magnoliopsida; Fabales; Fabaceae
Source: RefSeq, a predicted model, not a curated record